GUUAGCUCAGUUGGUCAGAGCGUGGUGCUAAUAACGCCAAGGUCAUGGGUUCGACCCCCAUA
This 62-nucleotide transfer RNA is filed under the name Rhodella violacea. It matches the Rfam family "tRNA", at positions 7 to 64 of the family's 71-position model. From Rfam's summary of the family: Transfer RNA (tRNA) molecules are approximately 80 nucleotides in length. Their secondary structure includes four short double-helical elements and three loops (D, anti-codon, and T loops). Lineage: Eukaryota; Rhodophyta; Rhodellophyceae; Rhodellales; Rhodellaceae. The record is from RNAcentral.